GACGAACGCUGGCGGCGUGCCUAAUACAUGCAAGUCGAGCGCAGGAAGCUGACGGAACUCUUCGGAGGGAAGGCCGUGGAAUGAGCGGCGGACGGGUGAGUAACACGUAAGGAACCUGCCUCAAGGAUUGGGAUAACUCCGAGAAAUCGGAGCUAAUACCGGAUAGUUCAACGGACCGCAUGGUCCGCUGAUGAAAGGCGCUCCGGCGUCACCUUGAGAUGGCCUUGCGGUGCAUUAGCUAGUUGGUGGGGUAACGGCCCACCAAGGCGACGAUGCAUAGCCGGCCUGAGAGGGUGAUCGGCCACACUGGGACUGAGACACGGCCCAGACUCCUACGGGAGGCAGCAGUAGGGAAUCUUCCACAAUGGACGAAAGUCUGAUGGAGCAACGCCGCGUGAGUGAUGAAGGUUUUCGGAUCGUAAAACUCUGUUGUAAGGGAAGAACACGUACGAGAGGAAAUGCUCGUACCUUGACGGUACCUUACGAGAAAGCCACGGCUAACUACGUGCCAGCCGCCGCGGUAA
RNAcentral lists this ribosomal RNA (524 nucleotides) under uncultured bacterium. RNAcentral's name for it is "partial 16S ribosomal RNA". It matches the Rfam family "Bacterial small subunit ribosomal RNA", at positions 28 to 523 of the family's 1533-position model. The record is from RNAcentral.